UUUGCUUGUUUUUUUUACAAUUUAAAAAUACUACUUCCACACGUUCAUGGUCGUGUUUCCUGAACAAGAUGUUCAAAAUUUCUUUUCAUUUCAUGGGUCAGGUCUCAAAAUGGGCCAAAUAACAUGAAUAUAAUUUUUCUACUCAUUUUGUUCCAUAAUUUGAAUCACUUGCAGUUCAAAUUUGACUUAUACCAAAAAUUUCCUUGAAAUGCAAUUAAUUAAAU
RNAcentral lists this long non-coding RNA (224 nucleotides) under Setaria italica (foxtail millet). RNAcentral describes it as "long non-coding RNA (SITA_LNC004551)". Lineage: Eukaryota; Viridiplantae; Streptophyta; Magnoliopsida; Poales; Poaceae. The record is from RNAcentral.